UUAAGGUCGAGACACACACACACAGUAGAUAGACUCAUUUAUAGGUGAAAGUUUAAUCAUAUUUUGCUUGUGACUGCAUUUUGUGCCUGCAAAAGAACAGUUUGUUGCAGAAUGUGGGCCUGAUGUUCCAGACGAUAAGCGGGCGUCCGGCAGCGACAGGAAGCACCUGCCGUGAAGACAAUGUUCUUUUUUAACUGUGUCACAAGUUGUCAACAGAACAUUUGUGGUUUUAACUUAUGCAUGUAUUGUAUCGGAUGAUGUAUGAGGGGGCGUCGGUAAAUAUACCCUGAUGUUAUAAAAUCAUUCCUGUGUAGUUAUUGGGCGGAGAUCUACAGCUGAUGUUGUGCAGUGUACAUCUCCCCACGCGUGUUCAUUAAAAAUCAUCGUUUGACUCCACCCGGCCAGAUCAGUGUUGUUAUUUGGAUUUCCUCCUGUAUCCCUCCUUAAUAUUUGAACCCUAACACCUACAUACUACAAUAAUCUAAAUCAACAUAGUGUAGCCGGAUGGGCUACUCGCCUUUCAUUUCUCUCUCGCUCGCUCUCUCCUGCGCUCGCUCUCUCCUGCGCUCGCUCUCGCUGCGCAACUAUGUUAAUUAGGAACCCACCUGUAUAUUGAUUACAGGGUGGUGUUUACCUGUAUAAAGGGAAGCCGGGUUUUUUUGUUGGAUCAUUCCUCCCGAGCUUCUGGUGCGACACAGCAGUAAAUGCUGGCCUAUCGGUUAAUUUUACGAUCGGAUCGUGUGACUGCUACAGCCGUGGUGGAGAGACGCGUGAGUUGCGUCCACCGUGCAGUACAGUGCCUCCAGUCUUGGGGAUUUGAUUGCUGCCGCACCCUCUCAGGGAUCAACUGCCUGAUUUUAAGCGAAGAGUUGAGACGCCUGCCUAGCUGCUGUCUUGUCUUGCCUUGUUUUAUCUUGUGUUCCGAUCUGUUGGUUGUCCAGUUUUGUUCCUGCUGCUUACCUCGCCCCUGGGGGCUUUGGGUCUCACGCUAAGCCCCUUUUGGACUAUCGUUUCACUCCAGCUUUCGCGGCGGGUCGGGGCGAUCCUCAGCUGCAUAUUGGGCUGGUGUUACAAAACUGGUACUGCCUCUCCCUUUUCUCCCAGUUGUGGAGAGCUGUGCGAGACUGAGUGGGGCUACGGACAAUCGGAACCAGCACCAGCUGUGGGCUGGCUCGCAGACGAACUGAGGAUCUACCAGCGGCCGUGGGACCUUAGGUGGCGGGUCGUUUUCCACACUUCUUUUGUUGUACAGCACCAGGUGAAUAGACUAUAGUAGGUUUUUUUGUGUGGUUUUCUUUUGGUCCACCGCUGCUGGUAAGUCCCAGUUGUGUGUUUAUUUUUAUUGUAAUUUGGGACACCGUUUUAGACAUUCAGUGCACUCUCAGUGUUUUGUUUUUAUUUUACAUUAAUAAAUAAAAUUGUGUUAAUAUUUGAGUCGGCCUCAGUGUGCAUCCCUGAACCUGUGCAAAUGUUGUUGUUUUAAUUACAUUUCAUUUUUAAAGUUCAUUUUUCCUGGGGGCUAGAAUUCCCCCUCAGGUGGCGUUGUCAUUUUAUUAUUUCUUUUAUAACCCCGCCGACCACUUGGUCACAAUAGCGUAGCACUUUAACUGCAAGAAUAAGCAUAGCCGCACUCUAAACAUGUGGCUUCAACAACGUAUCAAAGUUACACAUUAAACUUCCGUCAUGUCACAAAAUACAACCACAGAACUACAGAUAAAUAUCAAAUAAACAAUACACAUACAGACGAUGCUCCAAAAGACGAAGGAUUGAGGGCAGAUGAAUGUGGAUUCAUGGCAGUCUCCUUGGCCAUGUGCAAACGUCACUAAACCUUACUACUUCCUGCUUCCUGUGAUGUCACCAGGUAUCAGAACUAUUAAAGGGACAGCUGCACUAACACUAU
Oreochromis niloticus (Nile tilapia) is the source of this 1900-nucleotide long non-coding RNA. RefSeq lists it as uncharacterized. NCBI's taxonomy places the organism in Eukaryota, Metazoa, Chordata, Actinopteri, Cichliformes, Cichlidae. The record is from RefSeq and is a predicted model, not a curated record. The transcript has 4 exons.